GACGAACGCUGGCGGCGUGCCUAAUACAUGCAAGUUGAGCGCUGAAGGUUGGUACUUGUACCAACUGGAUGAGCAGCGAACGGGUGAGUAACGCGUGGGGAAUCUGCCUUUGAGCGGGGGACAACAUUUGGAAACGAAUGCUAAUACCGCAUAAAAACUUUAAACACAAGUUUUAAGUUUGAAAGAUGCAAUUGCAUCACUCAAAGAUGAUCCCGCGUUGUAUUAGCUAGUUGGUGAGGUAAAGGCUCACCAAGGCGAUGAUACAUAGCCGACCUGAGAGGGUGAUCGGCCACAUUGGGACUGAGACACGGCCCAAACCCCUACGGGAGGCAGCCGGAGGGAAUCUUCGGCAAUGGACGAAAGUCUGACCGAGCAACGCCGCGGGAGUGAAGAAGGGUUUCGGAUCGUAAAACUCGGUUGGUAGAGAAGAACGUUGGUGAGAGUGGAAAGCUCAUCAAGUGACGGUAACUACCCAGAAAGGGACGGCUAACUACGUG
This 497-nucleotide ribosomal RNA is filed under the name uncultured bacterium. RNAcentral's name for it is "partial 16S ribosomal RNA". It matches the Rfam family "Bacterial small subunit ribosomal RNA", at positions 28 to 507 of the family's 1533-position model. The record is from RNAcentral.